GUUCUGACAGAAUUCACAAAAGUAGGACUCACCCUCGGGUGUUUCAUCUUAGUAAUUGUAUUUUUUUAAAGCUUUCGAACUGUGUAAAUGGUUACGUCACUCUCACGUGACGGCCAGCAUGCCCUCCUUCGGGACGGGAUGUGUCAAGUUACACUAAAAAAUCCAUCUUCACAAUCAACCAAAUCAAAAUUCGUUUGGCCACAACAUUUUAGUUAAACACUAAAAUUUAACAGCAUUAAUUAAAUGACUCAACUCAAUUCGUUGAUUUUUGGAAGGGCAACAAAAGUGGACUGCAUGGAUACUGGAUUGUUAGGCUAGUAAUUUUGACGUCGACCUAAUUUUUUUUUCUUAUUAAAGGGGGCUAGGAAAGCUUGACAUUUAAGCCUUUUCUAGCCACUAUCGUGCGAUUUACCAGCAUUAAAAAUCAAACAUAGAACCUGCCGUGGUGAAAUAUAGGCCUGAAAUUCGUCUCCAACAACUAAACCACCCCUUGAUGGUUGACAUCGAUCUAAUUUUGGUAAAUACAUAACAAAAUAGGUUUAUCAAACUUGGAAAAUAUGCAGACAUGGGUUUAAUCAAACUAUGGAGCGUAUUAGUUAUUUAAUUUAGUGUAAUAUUUUAUCGCUUGUUAAAAAAAACUUUGGAAAAUAUUGGUUGAUAGACCUCAGACCGUUAAUUCCUUUAAACAGAAUCCAACACCUAGAUCUUUCUAUCCCUGCUCUUAAUUUCUCCCCCUCAUUUUCUUCUACAAAAUCUAAAUCCCAACUCAUUAACUUCUCAAAAAAUAAAAUAAAAUCCCAACUCAUUAAUUUAUAUAGAGAAAAUUGGAGUAAUGGUGUCUGAAGUUUAAGUCAAUUGAAGCUUUGAUACUGAAAUUUAAAAGAGAAGAGCUUGGCUCCUUAAAGUUGAGAAGAACAUCCUCCUCAAAAUACUUUAUUGGAUUUUUCACAAAACUUCGUGUUUAUGAUCGAAACUGUUCAUAUUACAAAUAACUUUGUAAAGGUCAU
This 1007-nucleotide long non-coding RNA is filed under the name Malus domestica (apple). Its description in RNAcentral is "long non-coding RNA (MDOM_LNC010791)". Lineage: Eukaryota; Viridiplantae; Streptophyta; Magnoliopsida; Rosales; Rosaceae. The record is from RNAcentral.